RNAcentral lists this transfer RNA (74 nucleotides) under Thermotoga sp. RNAcentral describes it as "tRNA-Thr". It matches the Rfam family "tRNA". From Rfam's summary of the family: Transfer RNA (tRNA) molecules are approximately 80 nucleotides in length. Their secondary structure includes four short double-helical elements and three loops (D, anti-codon, and T loops). RNAcentral also lists the same sequence under 2 other names. Lineage: Bacteria; Thermotogati; Thermotogota; Thermotogae; Thermotogales; Thermotogaceae. The record is from RNAcentral.
GCCAGUGUAGCUCAAUCGGCAGAGCAACUCAUUCGUAAUGAGUAGGUUUGUGGGUUCAAUUCCCACCGCUGGCU